This 46-nucleotide non-coding RNA is filed under the name Schistosoma mansoni. The record is from RNAcentral. Lineage: Eukaryota; Metazoa; Platyhelminthes; Trematoda; Strigeidida; Schistosomatidae.
GCACUUCCGAGGAGUCCCACAUCAGGACGAAACGGCUGUCUAGUAC